ACGAACGCUGGCGGCAUGCCUAACACAUGCACGUCGAACGAGACCUUCGGGUCUAGUGGCGCACGGGUGCGUAACGCGUGGGAACCUGCCCUUAGGUUCGGAAUAACUCCCCGAAAGGGGUGCUAAUACCGGAUAAUGUCUUCGGACCAAAGAUUUAUCGCCUUUGGAUGGGCCCGCGUUGGAUUAGCUAGUUGGUAGGGUAAAAGCCUACCAAGGCGACGAUCCAUAGCUGGUCUGAGAGGAUGAUCAGCCACACUGGGACUGAGACACGGCCCAGACUCCUACGGGAGGCAGCAGUGGGGAAUACUGGACAAUGGGCGAAAGCCUGAUCCAGCAAUGCCGCGUGAGUGAUGAAGGCCUUAGGGUUGUAAAGCUCUUUUACCCGGGAUGAUAAUGACAGUACCGGGAGAAUAAGCUCCGGCUAACUCCGUG
RNAcentral lists this ribosomal RNA (432 nucleotides) under uncultured bacterium. Its description in RNAcentral is "partial 16S ribosomal RNA". It matches the Rfam family "Bacterial small subunit ribosomal RNA", at positions 29 to 507 of the family's 1533-position model. The record is from RNAcentral.